AUUGAACGCUGGCGGCAGGCCUAACACAUGCAAGUCGAACGGUAGCACAGAGAGCUUGCUCUCGGGUGACGAGUGACGGACGGGUGAGUAAUGUCUGGGAAACUGCCCGAUGGAGGGGGAUAACUACUGGAAACGGUAGCUAAUACCGCAUAACGUCGCAAGACCAAAGUGGGGGACCUUCGGCCCUCACACCAUCGGAUGUGCCCAGAUGGGAUUAGCUAGUAGGUGGGGUAAUGGCUCACCUAGGCGACGAUCCCUAGCUGGUCUGAGAGGAUGACCAGCCACACUGGAACUGGGACACGGUCCAGACUCCUACGGGAGGCAGCAGUGGGGAAUAUUGCACAAUGGGCGCAAGCCUGAUGCAGCCAUGCCGCGUGUAUGAAGAAGGCCUUCGGGUUGUAAAGUACUUUCAGCGGGGAGGAAGGCGGUGAAGUUAAUAGCUUCACCGAUUGACGUUACCCGCAGAAGAAGCACCGGCUAACUCCGUGCCAGCCGCCGCCGUAA
RNAcentral lists this ribosomal RNA (504 nucleotides) under uncultured bacterium. RNAcentral describes it as "partial 16S ribosomal RNA". It matches the Rfam family "Bacterial small subunit ribosomal RNA", at positions 30 to 523 of the family's 1533-position model. The record is from RNAcentral.